GGAGAGAUGCCAGAGCGGUUGAAUGGGGCGGUCUCGAAAACCGUUGAUCCCUCGCGGGAUCCCAGGGUUCGAAUCCCUGUCUCUCCGCAA
This 90-nucleotide transfer RNA is filed under the name Bacteroidetes bacterium HGW-Bacteroidetes-6. RNAcentral's name for it is "tRNA-Ser". It matches the Rfam family "tRNA". From Rfam's summary of the family: Transfer RNA (tRNA) molecules are approximately 80 nucleotides in length. Their secondary structure includes four short double-helical elements and three loops (D, anti-codon, and T loops). The record is from RNAcentral. Lineage: Bacteria; Pseudomonadati; Bacteroidota.